This 665-nucleotide ribosomal RNA is filed under the name Escherichia coli. Its description in RNAcentral is "partial 23S ribosomal RNA". It matches the Rfam family "Bacterial large subunit ribosomal RNA", at positions 2257 to 2916 of the family's 2925-position model. The record is from RNAcentral. Lineage: Bacteria; Pseudomonadati; Pseudomonadota; Gammaproteobacteria; Enterobacterales; Enterobacteriaceae.
UCUGGUGGGUAGUUUGACUGGGGCGGUCUCCUCCUAAAGAGUAACGGAGGAGCACGAAGGUUGGCUAAUCCUGGUCGGACAUCAGGAGGUUAGUGCAAUGGCAUAAGCCAGCUUGACUGCGAGCGUGACGGCGCGAGCAGGUGCGAAAGCAGGUCAUAGUGAUCCGGUGGUUCUGAAUGGAAGGGCCAUCGCUCAACGGAUAAAAGGUACUCCGGGGAUAACAGGCUGAUACCGCCCAAGAGUUCAUAUCGACGGCGGUGUUUGGCACCUCGAUGUCGGCUCAUCACAUCCUGGGGCUGAAGUAGGUCCCAAGGGUAUGGCUGUUCGCCAUUUAAAGUGGUACGCGAGCUGGGUUUAGAACGUCGUGAGACAGUUCGGUCCCUAUCUGCCGUGGGCGCUGGAGAACUGAGGGGGGCUGCUCCUAGUACGAGAGGACCGGAGUGGACGCAUCACUGGUGUUCGGGUUGUCAUGCCAAUGGCACUGCCCGGUAGCUAAAUGCGGAAGAGAUAAGUGCUGAAAGCAUCUAAGCACGAAACUUGCCCCGAGAUGAGUUCUCCCUGAGACUUUAAGUCUCCUGAAGGAACGUUGAAGACGACGACGUUGAUAGGCCGGGUGUGUAAGCGCAGCGAUGCGUUGAGCUAACCGGUACUAAUGAACCGUGAGG